GGCGUCGCGGGCACAGGGUGAGGGCGGCCGUUACUGGAGUUCAGCUUCGGGAAGGAGGACGCUGAGGAGGCGCCGAGCCGCGGAGCGCUUCUGGGGAGGCGCCCGCGCAGACUCGAGGCCCAUAGCCAGGACCACCACCUAGCUGGUGAGCGCGCGGCGAGGCGGGGCGGCCCGGGGUCCCGAGGGCCGGGUGCCGCCUUACCUGCGGCCGGGCCGGGGACGGCGGGCGCCGGCCGAGGGCGCUGCUUGGCCGCGGCGGGGAGCCCGGGCCUGGGUUGCGGCGGGCGCCGGCCUGGCCGGGGGCGCUGACAGACGCGCGGAGGGCGGGGGAGGCCGGGAGGUGUCACCCGGCCCAGCGGGGUGGAAGUGCCUGGAAAGUUUGUUUUCAGCUCGGCGCAGCCUGGAGCCGAGCCUCCAGGGUUACCUUUCGGUUCUGUCUGUAGAGGAACCGCCCUGGGCUUCCACCUGGAACGGCGUCCUUGGCGCCUCCGCCUGCGAGAGAAGCAGAAGGUGCAAGUUCUUGCUCAAAGCACCUGAUGCUCCUGGGCCCCCUUUUCCAGAUUCUUGAUGACAUUGGUUGGGAAAACGCCUUUCACGGCCCGGCCAAGGGGCAUUUGGGUGCUUUUGCUGCCCGUGGCUGUGCUCAGCGUUGUGGGAAGCCCCUGGGCGGCCGAAUGUGCAGGAUCACCGAGGGGAAAGUGAGCUUGACAGUUCUACAGUCUGGGGACCAUGGUUUAAGAAUUUAUGCCUUGUAUGCGAUGUGCAGUGGGUGAUGGAAGAACGUCUACAUGGCUUUAAAAUUGGAUUUAAAAGGCAAAUAUUUUAAAUGAAGGAAAACCCAAGAAGUUUACUUGAUUCCUUAUCUUCCAGGAUGCGGCUUUUAUUUAUUUAUUUAUUUUAUUUUGAUGGAGUCUCGCUGCCGUCGCGCAGGCUGGAGUGCAGUGACGCGAUCUUGA
This 956-nucleotide long non-coding RNA is filed under the name Pan troglodytes (chimpanzee). RNAcentral's name for it is "lincRNA". The record is from RNAcentral. Lineage: Eukaryota; Metazoa; Chordata; Mammalia; Primates; Hominidae.